AAGGGAAGGGAUUUCAUAGCAACAUUGCAUUUGGAGCUAAAUUGUACUUUCCUGUGACAAAGAUGGUAGAUCAUAAGAAUAAAGAUCCUACGUAGGCUCAACUUCUUCAUGUUCAAUGAAUUGUGAUGGGUUCUUGACAUUAUUUUUUGGACAGCAACCUGUAGCAGCUUUACUUUUUGACAGCUUUCUUAAAUUGUAAGACUCAUGUCAUCUAUUAAAGAACAAAAGAAACAGUUAUCAGUGAAGAGGAAACCUACAGAAUGGGAGAAAUGUUUGUAAACAACUCAUCUGAUAAAUUAUUAAUAUACAGCAUCUAUAAAGACUCAAAUGACUUAAAUGAGAAAAUGUAUACUUGAAGACUGAAUGCCUGACAAGACUGAAAGGAACACUUGGCCAACACCCAAAGGUUUUAUCUUACCCAAUAUAGAAGUCACCCAGAUUAUGGAUCUGAAGAAUUCCCAAGGAAGAGAACCAAAUACAGAAUACAGAUAGAAAGAUUUUUCUUAUUAAUAU
This 513-nucleotide long non-coding RNA is filed under the name Mus caroli (Ryukyu mouse). Its description in RNAcentral is "lncRNA (MGP_CAROLIEiJ_G0004459.1)". Lineage: Eukaryota; Metazoa; Chordata; Mammalia; Rodentia; Muridae. The record is from RNAcentral.